GGUAGGGUAGCCGAGAGCCAGGCGGUGGGUUGUAGCCCCGAAGACGAAGGUUUAAGUCCUUUUCCUAUCA
RNAcentral lists this transfer RNA (70 nucleotides) under Notropis lutipinnis (yellowfin shiner). RNAcentral's name for it is "tRNA-Tyr". It matches the Rfam family "tRNA". Rfam says of the family: Transfer RNA (tRNA) molecules are approximately 80 nucleotides in length. Their secondary structure includes four short double-helical elements and three loops (D, anti-codon, and T loops). The record is from RNAcentral. Lineage: Eukaryota; Metazoa; Chordata; Actinopteri; Cypriniformes; Leuciscidae.